RNAcentral lists this transfer RNA (72 nucleotides) under Marmota monax (woodchuck). Its description in RNAcentral is "tRNA.Ala". Lineage: Eukaryota; Metazoa; Chordata; Mammalia; Rodentia; Sciuridae. The record is from RNAcentral.
UGCGGUAGAGCUCAGUGGUACAGCAUGUGCUUAGCAUGUACCAGACUCUGGGUUCCAUCUCCAGCACCGGAA